UGAGAGAAUUUGUAGCUCCCGAAUAUUUUUGAUUUUGGUGAAAUCUACAGCGGCAGAAAGUUGACGUAACUCUCACGUUGAGGGUGAAUCACUAUAAAUCUUAUGUGCUUUUUUUUUUCUUUUAAUUCGUGUUCUUCAGGAAGAAUUAGAUCCGUAAUUCCUAACAACAUAUUUGUGUACUCAAUUUCUGUUCAUUCAUGUAUGUGCUUAGGUAUCAGUAAUGCAGAGUUUCUUUGCUUAAGUUACAAAAUAUUAAAAAAUACGGAGUUAGUCUCUAAUAUUGAAUAUUAUUCUGUUGGUUUUAUGGUGUUUUCAAUCAGAUUGUUUCGUAUUUUGUGUUCCUUUACUUAUUUCUAAAAAUAAGUUAAAUGAAUAUUAUUGUAUUAUUUUUUGUAUUAUAAUGAUGGAUUAUUCAUGUUUAACUACUGUCGUAGGUCAUCUGGACAGUCUGCUGCCGAACCAUGGUCUUCCCGGUCUUGUGUCUGAAAAAUGCGAGCGAAAAAUGCCUCACAAGGAACUGCGUUUAAUAUCAUGUUUUACUUUAAUGGUCGAAGAUGUUAAAUUCGAGGUGUCACCACUACGUUGUUUUAAAGACCAUGUUUGUUUUAAUGACUUAUCUAAGUUUAUUUUGGUAUAAUUUAAUGGUGUUAAAAUUGGUUCG
This 661-nucleotide long non-coding RNA is filed under the name Arabidopsis lyrata. RNAcentral's name for it is "long non-coding RNA (ALYR_LNC003217)". The record is from RNAcentral. Lineage: Eukaryota; Viridiplantae; Streptophyta; Magnoliopsida; Brassicales; Brassicaceae.